GGCAAGAUGGCCGAGUGGUCUAAGGCGCACGGUUCAGGGCGUACCAAGCUGGACCUCUUCGACGCGAUUUCGUGUCAGGUUUCCGUGUCUCGAAAGGGGCGAGGGUUCGAAUCCCUCUCUUGUCA
This 125-nucleotide transfer RNA is filed under the name Aspergillus ustus. It matches the Rfam family "tRNA". From Rfam's summary of the family: Transfer RNA (tRNA) molecules are approximately 80 nucleotides in length. Their secondary structure includes four short double-helical elements and three loops (D, anti-codon, and T loops). Further hydrogen bonds mediate the characteristic L-shaped molecular structure. tRNAs have two regions of fundamental functional importance: the anti-codon, which is responsible for specific mRNA codon recognition, and the 3' end, to which the tRNAs corresponding amino acid is attached (by aminoacyl-tRNA synthetases). tRNAs cope with the degeneracy of the genetic code in two manners: having more than one tRNA (with a specific anti-codon) for a particular amino acid; and 'wobble' base-pairing, i.e. permitting non-standard base-pairing at the 3rd anti-codon position. Lineage: Eukaryota; Fungi; Ascomycota; Eurotiomycetes; Eurotiales; Aspergillaceae. The record is from Rfam by way of RNAcentral.